GAUGAACGCUGGCGGCGUGCCUAAUACAUGCAAGUCGAGCGAACAGACGAGGAGCUUGCUCCUCUGACGUUAGCGGCGGACGGGUGAGUAACACGUGGAUAACCUACCUAUAAGACUGGGAUAACUUCGGGAAACCGGAGCUAAUACCGUAUAACAUGUUGAACCGCAUGGUUCAACAGUGAAAGACGGUUUUGCUGUCACUUAUAGAUGGAUCCGCGUCGCAUUAGCUAGUUGGUAAGGUAACGGCUUACCAAGGCAACGAUGCGUAGCCGACCUGAGAGGGUGAUCGGCCACACUGGAACUGAGACACGGUCCAGACUCCUACGGGAGGCAGCAGUAGGGAAUCUUCCGCAAUGGGCGAAAGCCUGACGGAGCAACGCCGCGUGAGUGAAGAAGGUCUUCGGAUCGUAAAACUCUGUUAUUAGGGAAGAACAAAUGUGUAAGUAACUAUGCACGUCUUGACGGUACCUAAUCAGAAAGCCACGGCUAACUACGUG
This 497-nucleotide ribosomal RNA is filed under the name uncultured bacterium. RNAcentral describes it as "partial 16S ribosomal RNA". It matches the Rfam family "Bacterial small subunit ribosomal RNA", at positions 28 to 507 of the family's 1533-position model. The record is from RNAcentral.